AGCUGCCUCGCUCGUCCUCGCACGAACCCGCGCAGCGAGCCGCAGAGGAAGAAGAAGAAGAAGAGGAGGAGGAGGAGUUAAAAAGAUGAGCCUUCAUCACCAAACCACGUCUCUCCGGAGCAGCAAAUGUGAACGAGAGGACGGUGUUUCUGAGGAUUUCAAGGGGUCCGCAACAGUUCCUGUUUUUCCACCCCGACAUGUGAGAUCUGUCAUCGGCCCACCGGAGGGAGGGAGGAGUGUGUGAAAGGUCGGCGGGGUCAAACCAGUGCACAUCGAAGGGAGAGGAAAAGAGAUGCCAACGAUGUACGUCCCUGUGAAGCCGGGCGGAUUGAGGAUGCGUUUGAGGAACACUGGGAAACGAGGCUCCCCUUUACUCCCCCGGAGUGACGCGGCGCCGACAGCUCUAAAGUUAAUACGCAGCGGCCCAGAAAUAAGCGUCGGCAUGACCGGGCUCGUUUUGGAAACAGCACCGCGUUGGGCCCAUGCCGCGAGCGUGA
Long non-coding RNA from Pseudoliparis swirei, 497 nucleotides. RefSeq lists it as uncharacterized. Lineage: Eukaryota; Metazoa; Chordata; Actinopteri; Perciformes; Liparidae. The transcript is spliced from 3 exons. The record is from RefSeq and is a predicted model, not a curated record.